This 465-nucleotide ribosomal RNA is filed under the name Vreelandella stevensii. Its description in RNAcentral is "partial 16S ribosomal RNA". It matches the Rfam family "Bacterial small subunit ribosomal RNA", at positions 338 to 795 of the family's 1533-position model. Lineage: Bacteria; Pseudomonadati; Pseudomonadota; Gammaproteobacteria; Oceanospirillales; Halomonadaceae. The record is from RNAcentral.
CCUACGGGUGGCAGCAGUGGGGAAUAUUGGACAAUGGGCGAAAGCCUGAUCCAGCCAUGCCGCGUGUGUGAAGAAGGCCUUCGGGUUGUAAAGCACUUUCAGUGGGGAAGAAAGCCUUGGGGCUAAUACCCUCGAGGAAGGACAUCACCCACAGAAGAAGCACCGGCUAACUCCGUGCCAGCAGCCGCGGUAAUACGGAGGGUGCGAGCGUUAAUCGGAAUUACUGGGCGUAAAGCGCGCGUAGGCGGUCUGAUAAGCCGGUUGUGAAAGCCCCGGGCUCAACCUGGGAACGGCAUCCGGAACUGUCAGGCUAGAGUGCAGGAGAGGAAGGUAGAAUUCCCGGUGUAGCGGUGAAAUGCGUAGAGAUCGGGAGGAAUACCAGUGGCGAAGGCGGUCUUAUGGACUGACACUGACGCUGAGGUGCGAAAGCGUGGGUAGCAAACAGGAUUAGAUACCCUAGUAGUC